RNAcentral lists this ribosomal RNA (253 nucleotides) under uncultured bacterium. Its description in RNAcentral is "partial 16S ribosomal RNA". It matches the Rfam family "Bacterial small subunit ribosomal RNA", at positions 524 to 776 of the family's 1533-position model. The record is from RNAcentral.
GACGUAGGGCGCGAGCGUUGUCCGGAUUUAUUGGGCGUAAAGAGCUCGUAGGCGGCUUGUUGCGUCGACCGUGAAAACCCGGGGCUCAACUUCGGGCUUGCGGUCGAUACGGGCGGGCUAGAGUUCGGUAGGGGAGACUGGAAUUCCUGGUGUAGCGGUGAAAUGCGCAGAUAUCGGGAAGAACACCCGUGGCGAAGGCGGCUCUCUGGAACGCAACUGACGCUGAGGCGCGAAAGCGUGGGGAGCAAACAGG